Molecule: unclassified non-coding RNA, 798 nt
Filed under: Hevea brasiliensis (rubber tree)
Lineage: Eukaryota; Viridiplantae; Streptophyta; Magnoliopsida; Malpighiales; Euphorbiaceae
Source: RNAcentral
UCUUCUCUUUCAUUCACACUAGAUCAGCCUAACUUGAUUGGUUUUUCCUUUUGCGCUGUUUGUGAUCCCACAAAUUUUUUGGGUGAUGAUAUGGCUGACAUUACUUGCGAAGCCCAAUUCAUAGAUAAAUCUGGACAUAGCAAUAAAAAAUUCCGUUUCGAUUGGGUGACUGUGAAAGAUGUUAAUUUAUUAUGUUCAGAACAUGUAUUCCUUUGGAAUGACUCGUUCGACAUGGAAGAUGGUCCCGUUGCGGCCUCAUUCCAGUUCUUCGUUGACACGGUGUUCGUCAAGGCAAAAUAUCGCAAGGAUCGUGAUUACAGUGCUAUAAUUAAGUGUGGGGUACAUCCUAUGUUUGGAGACGAUUGUCUUGGCAGAGAUAAUAAAAAGAGAAGCAGAAGUCAAGAAGAUGAAGAUGACGAACUUUCUUUUCAAAGAUUGAAACAAGACGAAGAACCUUCUCAUACACUGGAUAAAUCAGAUUCAGAAUGACAACAGGUAAAGGAAUUUCUUAUUCGUUGUUUUUAUCAUUCAGAAUUUAUUUACUCUAGCAAGUAAUAUUUUUCAGCACUACCACUUGGACAAUAUUUUCUAUUCCAUAAUCUACUUAUGCUAACAAGUGAAGAUCCCAUGUUUUAGCUUUUGGUACAGUCAGGAGAUCAGGAAAACUAAGAUUUUUUUAAGUAAAAUGAUUUUCUCUUUUUAAAAGAGGAAAUUAUUUUUUAAUUUUAAUAUUAUUAUUAAAAUGUGAAAAUAUUUAUUUACUAAUGACUUAGAUCAAUAUUGUAAUUAAAUAAUAAA